GAGUAAGAAGUAAAGUAAAAAGAAAAAUUCGAUAGAGAUGGGGGAGAAAAUAUUCGAAAGACGAAGAGAAAAACGACUCUCUUUUUUUCGAAAAAGGAAAAAAUGAUCAGAUUUUGGAUAUACUCCCCUAAUUCACUAAUGAAAUCGCUCCCAAACCUCACUACACAUCCACCACUCAGAAACCCAGUUCAGCACAACUCUUGCUGAAAUUAGGAGCAAAAAAAAAAAAUACAACCGUAGUCAUCCCAAAGAUUCGAACCCAUGACCUUCACGAUAAUAAUACACCAUUUAACUACCAGACUAGCAGGCUCAUUCUAAUGGAAUUUACCCAACAA
Molecule: long non-coding RNA, 335 nt
Filed under: Gossypium raimondii (Peruvian cotton)
Lineage: Eukaryota; Viridiplantae; Streptophyta; Magnoliopsida; Malvales; Malvaceae
Description: long non-coding RNA (GRAI_LNC007866)
Source: RNAcentral